AUAUCAGUCAUGCAUAGCAUAUCAAUAAGCGGAGGAAAAGAAACUAACAAGGAUUCCCUUAGUAACGGCGAGUGAAGCGGGAAGAGCUCAAAUUUGAAAUCUUCAAGGUUUUACCUUGACGAAUUGUAGUUUAAAGAAGUGUUUUCUGUUGAAGUUUUGGUAAAAGUUCUUUGGAAUAGGACAUCAUAGAGGGUGAGAAUCCCGUAUUUGACCAUUACUUUCAGCUUUGUGAUACACUUUCAAAGAGUCGGAUUGUUUGGGAAUGCAGUCCAAAAUGGGUGGUAAAUUUCAUCUAAAGCUAAAUAUUGGCGAGAGACCGAUAGCGAACAAGUACCGUGAGGGAAAGAUGAAAAGAACUUUGAAAAGAGAGUUAAACAGUAUGUGAAAUUGUCAAAAGGGAAGCGUUUGACACCAGUAUUGUUUUCUCGAAAAUCAAUUAAAAAGAGUUGGAUUUUGUGUUGUAUUGACUUUAUCAGGCUUUCUUCACUCUUUUCCAGCUUUUUUUAAUGCACUUUUCGUUUAACAAGUCAACAUCAGUUUCUUUUGUUGUAAAAAGGUCAUUGGAAGGUGGCUUUCUCUUCGGAGAAAGUGUUUAUAGCCUUUGACUCAUGCAAUCGGAGAGACUGAGGUCUGCAGCGUAGAUCCUUCGGGGUUAGAUACAUUUGUGCUAAGUUAUAGCUUUUCAUAGACAACUUGUUGACUAUGUUUAGUCUUGUAGCUUACUCGCUUAUGCUAUUUUACCUACGCUUAGGAUGUUGAACUCUAUCACACACA
RNAcentral lists this ribosomal RNA (774 nucleotides) under uncultured Neocallimastigales. RNAcentral describes it as "partial large subunit ribosomal RNA". It matches the Rfam family "Eukaryotic large subunit ribosomal RNA", at positions 22 to 615 of the family's 3401-position model. The record is from RNAcentral. Lineage: Eukaryota; Fungi; Neocallimastigomycota; Neocallimastigomycetes; Neocallimastigales.